UGGAGGGCAAGUCUGGUGCCAGCAGCCGCGGUAAUUCCAGCUCCAAUAGCGUAUAUUAAAGUUGUUGAGGUUAAAAAGCUCGUAGUUGAACCUUGGGCCCGGCCGGCCGGUCUCCCUCACCGGAUGCCACUGGCUCGGCUGGGCCUUUCCUUCUGGAGAACCCCAUGCCCUUCACUGGGUGUGGCGGGGAACCAGGACUUUUACUCUGAACAAAUUAGAUCGCUUAAAGAAGGCCUAUGCUCGAAUAUAUUAGCAUGGAAUAAUAGAAUAGGACGUGUGGUUCUAUUUUGUUGGUUUCUAGGACCGCCGUAAUGAUUAAUAGGGACAGUCGGGGGCAUCAGUAUUCAAUUGUCAGAGGUGAAAUUCUUGGAUUUAUUGAAGACUAACUACUGCGAAAGCAUUUGCCAAGGAUGUUUUCAUUAAUCAGGAACGAAAGUUAGGGGAUCGAAGACGAUCAGAUACCGUCGUAGUCUUAACCAUAAACUAUGCCGACUAGGGAUCGGACGGUGUUAUUUUUUGACCCGUUCGGCACCUUACGGGAAAC
Molecule: ribosomal RNA, 544 nt
Filed under: uncultured Ascomycota
Lineage: Eukaryota; Fungi; Ascomycota
Description: SSU rRNA
Rfam family: Eukaryotic small subunit ribosomal RNA
Source: RNAcentral